RNAcentral lists this ribosomal RNA (497 nucleotides) under uncultured bacterium. Its description in RNAcentral is "partial 16S ribosomal RNA". It matches the Rfam family "Bacterial small subunit ribosomal RNA", at positions 28 to 507 of the family's 1533-position model. The record is from RNAcentral.
GAUGAACGCUGGCGGCGUGCCUAAUACAUGCAAGUCGAGCGAACAGACGAGGAGCUUGCUCCUCUGACGUUAGCGGCGGACGGGUGAGUAACACGUGGAUAACCUACCUAUAAGACUGGGAUAACUUCGGGAAACCGGAGCUAAUACCGGAUAAUAUAUUGAACCGCAUGGUUCAAUAGUGAAAGACGGUUUUGCUAUCACUUAUAGAUGGAUCCGCGCCGCAUUAGCUAGUUGGUAAGGUAACGGCUUACCAAGGCGACGAUGCGUAGCCGAACUGAGAGGGUGAUCGGCCACACUGGAACUGAGACACGGUCCAGACUCCUACGGGAGGCAGCAGUAGGGAAUCUUCCGCAAUGGGCGAAAGCCUGACGGAGCAACGCCGCGUGAGUGAUGAAGGUCUUCGGAUCGUAAAACUCUGUUAUUAGGGAAGAACAAAUGUGAAAGUAACUAUGCACGUCUUGACGGUACCUAAUCAGAAAGCCACGGCUAACUACGUG